This 274-nucleotide ribosomal RNA is filed under the name uncultured bacterium. RNAcentral's name for it is "partial 16S ribosomal RNA". It matches the Rfam family "Bacterial small subunit ribosomal RNA", at positions 523 to 796 of the family's 1533-position model. The record is from RNAcentral.
AUACGGAGGGUGCAAGCGUUAUUCGGAAUCACUGGGCGUAAAGGACGCGUAGGCGGGUUGGCAAGUCAGAUGUGAAAUCCUACAGCUUAACUGUAGAACUGCAUUUGAAACUGCUAACCUAGAGUAUGGGAGGGGGAGAUGGAAUUAGUGGUGUAGGGGUAAAAUCCGUAGAUAUCCCUAAGAAUACCGAAAGCGAAGGCGAUCCCCUGGAACAUAACUGACGCUAAGGCGUGAAAGCGUGGGGAGCAAACAGGAUUAGAAACCCCAGUAGUCC